AGUGAACGCUGGCGGUAGACCUAACACAUGCAAGUCGAACGGCAGCACAGUAAGAGCUUGCUCGUACGGGUGGCGAGUGGCGGACGGGUGAGGAAUACAUCGGAAUCUACUUUUUCGUGGGGGAUAACGUAGGGAAACUUACGCUAAUACCGCAUACGACCUACGGGUGAAAGCAGGGGAUCUUCGGACCUUGCGCGAUUGAAUGAGCCGAUGUCGGAUUAGCUAGUUGUCGGGGUAAAGGCCCACCAAGGCGACGAUCCGUAGCUGGUCUGAGAGGAUGAUCCGCCACACUGGCACUGAGACACGGUCCACACUCCUACGGGAGGCAGCAGUGGGGAAUAUUGGACAAUGGGCGCAAGCCUGAUCCAGCCAUACCGCGUGGGUGAAGAAGGCCUUCGGGUUGUAAAGCCCUUUUGUUGGGAAAGAAAAGCAGCAGGUUAAUACCCCGCUGUUCUGACGGUACCCAAGGAAUAAGCACCGGCUAACUUCGUG
Molecule: ribosomal RNA, 492 nt
Filed under: uncultured bacterium
Lineage: Bacteria
Description: partial 16S ribosomal RNA
Rfam family: Bacterial small subunit ribosomal RNA
Source: RNAcentral